UUUCGUUGGACAAACAAAAGAUAUUCUUCCAAUCCUAUAUAUGAACGACUUGAUAGAUGUUUAGCAAAUGCAGAAUGGUGUGCUCUUUAUCCUGUCACUAAUGUUUAUAAUAUGCCUAUCACUAUUAGUGACCAUGCUCCCAUUCUUGUCUCUACAGAAGGCAAGUUUAAAAAGCCUUUGCAAAAUUUUAAAUUUGAGAAUUGGUGGCUUAUGGAAGAAGAUUUUCAACCUUGUGCAAAAUCUGCUUGGCAAAGCACUGCUCAUAGGCCUUUUUAUGCAAGGACUAACCACCUUGCAGGAACAUUGAAGGAAUGGUGCAGAAAGAAAAAACCAAUUAACCAGGAACUCAAUCUAUUGGAGGAGCAAAUAAAAAAAUAUACAAAUGAAGCCGAUGCAGGAACAAAAUCAUAA
RNAcentral lists this ribosomal RNA (411 nucleotides) under Triticum aestivum (bread wheat). Its description in RNAcentral is "partial small subunit ribosomal RNA". Lineage: Eukaryota; Viridiplantae; Streptophyta; Magnoliopsida; Poales; Poaceae. The record is from RNAcentral.